RNAcentral lists this ribosomal RNA (451 nucleotides) under uncultured bacterium. Its description in RNAcentral is "partial 16S ribosomal RNA". It matches the Rfam family "Bacterial small subunit ribosomal RNA", at positions 29 to 523 of the family's 1533-position model. The record is from RNAcentral.
AACGAACGCUGGCGGCAGGCCUAACACAUGCAAGUCGAACGGGCGUAGCAAUACGUCAGUGGCGGACGGGUGAGUAACACGUGGGAACAUGCCUUUUGGUUCGGAACAACUCGGGGAAUCUUGAGCUAAUACCGGAUACGCCCUUCGGGGGAAAGGUUUAUCGCCGAAAGAUUGGCCCGCGUUUGAUUAGCUAGUUGGGGAGGUAACGGCUCACCAAGGCGACGAUCAGUAGCUGGUCUGUGAGGAUGAUCAGCCACAUUGGGACUGAGACAAGGCCCAGUCUCCUACGUGAGGAAGCAGUGGGGAAUAUUGGACAAUGGGCGCAAGCCUGAUCCAGCCAUGCCGCGUGGGUGAUGAAGUCCCUAGGGUUGUAAAGCCCUUUCGGCGGGGAAGAUAAUGACGGUACCCGCAGAAGACGCCCCGGCUAACUUCGUGCCAGCCGCCGCCGUAA